CGGACGGGUGAGUAAUGUCUGGGAAACUGCCCGAUGGAGGGGGGUAACUACUGGAAACGGUAGCUAAUACCGCAUAACGUCGCAAGACCAAAGAGGGGGACCUUCGGGCCUCUUGCCAUCGGAUGUGCCCAGAUGGGAUUAGCUAGUAGGUGGGGUAAUGGCUCACCUAGGCGACGAUCCCUAGCUGGUCUGAGAGGAUGACCAGCCACACUGGAACUGAGACACGGUCCAG
Molecule: ribosomal RNA, 232 nt
Filed under: uncultured bacterium
Lineage: Bacteria
Description: partial 16S ribosomal RNA
Rfam family: Bacterial small subunit ribosomal RNA
Source: RNAcentral